This 884-nucleotide ribosomal RNA is filed under the name uncultured bacterium. Its description in RNAcentral is "bacterial SSU rRNA". It matches the Rfam family "Bacterial small subunit ribosomal RNA", at positions 524 to 1397 of the family's 1533-position model. The record is from RNAcentral.
UACGGGGGAUGCAAGCGUUGUCCGGAAUCAUUGGGCGUAAAGAGUUCGUAGGUGGCCUGUUAAGUCUGGUGUUAAAUGCAGAGGCUCAACUUCUGUUCGGCACUGGAUACUGGCAAGCUUGAAUGCGGUAGAGGUAAAGGGAAUUCCUGGUGUAGCGGUGAAAUGCGUAGAUAUCAGGAGGAACAUCGGUGGCGUAAGCGCUUUACUGGGCCGUAAUUGACACUGAGGAACGAAAGCCAGGGUAGCAAAUGGGAUUAGAUACCCCAGUAGUCCUGGCCGUAAACGAUGGAUACUAGGUGUUGCGGGUAUCGACCCCUGCAGUGCCGAAGCUAACGCGAUAAGUAUCCCGCCUGGGGAGUACGCACGCAAGUGUGAAACUCAAAGGAAUUGACGGGGACCCGCACAAGCGGUGGAACAUGUGGUUUAAUUCGAAGCAACGCGAAGAACCUUACCAGGGCUUGACAUCUGACGAAUCCCGAUGAAAGUUGGGAGUGCUCUUCGGAGAGCGUCAAGACAGGUGGUGCACGGUUGUCGUCAGCUCGUGUCGUGAGAUGUUGGGUUAAGUCCCGCAACGAGCGCAACCCACGUUGUCAGUUGGUAUUAACGGUAUACUGUUAAUAACCUCUCUGGCGAGACUGCCGGUGAUAAACCGGAGGAAGGUGUGGACGACGUCAAAUCAUCAUGCCCCUUAUGCUCUGGGCUACACACGUGUUACAAUGGCUGGUACAACGAGUCGCCAACUCGCGAGAGUGAGCAAAUCUCUAAAAGCCAGUCUCAGUUCGGAUUGCACUCUGCAACUCGAGUGCAUGAAGUCGGAAUCGCUAGUAAACGCAGAUCAGCACGCUGCGUUGAAUACGUUCCCGGGUCUUGUACUCACCGCCCGU